CUUGAAUACAUUAGCAUGGAAUAAUGAAAUAGGACGUUCGAUCCUAUUUUGUUGGUUUCUUAGGAUUGACGUAAUGAUUAAUAGGGAUAGUUGGGGGCAUUAGUAUUCAAUUGUCAGAGGUGAAAUUCUUGGAUUUAUUGAAGACUAACUACUGCGAAAAGCAUUUUGCCAAGGAUGUUUUCAUUAAUCAAGAACGAAAGUUAGGGGAUCGAAGACGAUCAGAUACCGUCGUAGUCUUAACCAUAAACUAUGCCGACUAGGGAUCGGAUGAUGUUAAUUUUUAAUGACUCAUUCGGCGCCUUACG
Molecule: ribosomal RNA, 305 nt
Filed under: uncultured Glomus
Lineage: Eukaryota; Fungi; Glomeromycota; Glomeromycetes; Glomerales; Glomeraceae
Description: SSU rRNA
Rfam family: Eukaryotic small subunit ribosomal RNA
Source: RNAcentral